GACGAACGCUGGCGGCGUGCUUAACACAUGCAAGUCGAACGCUGAAGCUCAGCUUUUGUUGGGUGGAUGAGUGGCGAACGGGUGAGUAACACGUGAGUAACCUGCCCCUUUCUUUGGGAUAACGCCCGGAAACGGGUGCUAAUACUGGAUAUUCACUGGUCUUCGCAUGGGGGUUGGUGGAAAGGGUUUUUCUGGUGGGGGAUGGGCUCGCGGCCUAUCAGCUUGUUGGUGGGGUGAUGGCCUACCAAGGCUUUGACGGGUAGCCGGCCUGAGAGGGUGACCGGUCACAUUGGGACUGAGAUACGGCCCAGACUCCUACGGGAGGCGGCAGUGGGGAAUAUUGCACAAUGGGCGCAAGCCUGAUGCAGCGACGCCGCGUGAGGGAUGGAGGCCUUCGGGUUGUGAACCUCUUUCGCUCAUGGUCAAGCCGCAACAAUGGUUGUGGUGAGGGUAGUGGGUAAAGAAGCGCCGGCUAACUACGUG
RNAcentral lists this ribosomal RNA (483 nucleotides) under uncultured bacterium. RNAcentral describes it as "partial 16S ribosomal RNA". It matches the Rfam family "Bacterial small subunit ribosomal RNA", at positions 28 to 507 of the family's 1533-position model. The record is from RNAcentral.